ACCCUUCUCGCGGAGUGUUGAAGUUUCAAGUGCAAAUCAAUCUUUACUAACGACCCUACUUUUGGGGGCAAUAUUUGACAUUCUCGUUAUGGAUGACAGUGUGUUCGAGGACGACGAUUGGGCAGAUGAGGCCCUUUUGAUGGAAUGCGAAAAGGCCGAGGAGGCAUUACUCUUGAAGGCGGUAUCUCAGACGCCUUCUUCUCCUCAGGCCGAGCACUUGAAGGUUUUGCGCCAGAAUUUUGGACAUUCGCGUUUCAAGGAUUUGCAAUGGCAGAUCAUCCGAUCUGUGUUGGAAGAAGCUCAAGACCAAUGUGUGGUCAUGGCCACGGGCUACGGCAAAUCACUUUGCUAUCAGUUUCCACCCGUGUUUCUAAACAAAACGGCCUUGGUGAUUUCACCGUUGAUCGCGUUGAUGGAAGACCAAGUGAUGGCCCUGGAGGUGGCCAACAUUCCUGCUACUUAUUUGGGAGGCUCACAAACCAACAAGUCGGACAUUUAUGACGGUAUCAAGGCCAAUCAGUACAGGGUCGUUUAUUUGACCCCCGAGUUUGUGGACAAAUCCGGGGAUAUGAUCGAGAAUCUGUUCUCAGUCCAGAGUCUCUGUCUGAUUGCCAUUGACGAGGCUCAUUGUGUGUCUCAAUGGGGUCAUGACUUUCGCUCUUCCUACCGACAUCUCUAUCGCCUUCGGGAUAAAUUUCCCACCACGCCUAUUUUAGCCCUCACGGCCACAGCCACCGACCAGGUCAUCCAAGAUAUGGAAAAAUCGCUCAAACUGAAGCGUUGCCAAGUCGUGAAAACCUCCUUCGAUCGCCCUAAUCUGUAUAUUGAGAUACGACCAAAAACGAGCCCUUGGAACGACUUGAAUAUCAUCUCCAGCUACGACGAAGCUACGGGUACGCGAUCCAUAAAAGGCUCAACCAUUAUUUAUUGUCCGACCAGGAAAGAGGUGGACAAUAUUACGGAUGUUCUUGCCAAGCAAGGGUUGAACGUCCGAUCGUAUCACGCCGGAUUGUCCUUAAAGAAGCGAGAGACCAGCCAUAAAGAAUUUAUUCGGGAUCAAUGUGAUGCCAUCGUGUGUUCAGUAGCCUUUGGCAUGGGAAUCAACAAGCCAGACGUAAGGCGGGUCAUCCAUUAUGGAGCCCCCAGGGACAUGGAAUCUUAUUAUCAGGAAAUGGGCCGAGCGGGUCGCGAUGGCCAACCAGCUUCGGUCAUGGUAUUUUAUGGAACAAGCGAUUUUGUCACCCAUCGACAUCUUCUACUAGACAUAAAAAAUGAGGUUUGGCUUCAAAACCGAAUGGAUUUGGUCCAUCAAAUGGAAGUGUUUCUGGGCAAAAAGAAAUCUUGCCGUCGAGCAGAUAUUCUCGCUCAUUUUGGACAGACCUUGGACAAAGUCAGAUCCACAAAAUGUUGCGAUAAUUGCACUCAAUCUCUUUUAAGCACGCCAAGAGAUCAAGCUUGCGCCAAUCAAGAAGAUGAAUUAGUGGACUUCUCCGAGGAUGCUCGAUUGAUUUUGGAGUCGGUUAGGCAAUGUGGUGGUGUGUAUGGGCUUGGGAUCCCUUGUGCAGUUCUCAAAGGGGUCUCAGACAAGACCGUGAAGCAGUAUCUAACUCAGUUACCAAUAUUUGGGAAGGGUAAGAGCAAGGCCAAAACCUUCUGGAUGGCCUUGGGUCGCAGCUUAACAGCCCAGGGUUACAUAGGUCAAAAGGCUGUGGUCGGAGGUCAAUUCAAAGUUAGUACCUGCCACAUCACGGGCAAAGGAUCAAAAUUCCUCCGGGAUUCUACGUCUCAGUUCAAGCAGAUCCCAACAAAAGAGCUUCAAACCCCUGAUAUGAAACAGAAGCAGCCAGAUUUCAAAAAUGCUUAUCCAUCUCAAGUAUCAUCCGAGGAUUGGCGAUCAAAAUCCAACGAAUCGUCGUCCAAGAUCGAAGAUAUUCACAUGAAGCUAGCCCGUCGUCGCUCUACAUUGGCCAACAAACUAGGGUUGGCCCCAUAUAUGGUCCUACCUGAAGAGAUCCUCCAACAAUUAUCCUUAAUUCGCCCUUCAUCAGUGGCCAACAUGGAAAGAUUAGGCAUUCCAAGAGCUAAAGUCGAAAAAUUUGGACAAGACUUUGUGGACGAGAUAACAUCAUGGUGCACUUUGAAGGCUCUUCCAAUGGACAAUGAAGUCAAUGUGAUUAAUAUUGACGAGAGUUCCCUCAACGAAACACAGCAAACAAGCUAUACACUCUUUCAAGAACUGGGCAGCCUUGAGGCUGUAGCGGCUCAAAGAGGUCUCAAACCCUCCACCAUUGCCAACCAUUUGAGCGAAGCUAUUAAAGCUAGACUUCCGGUGAACAUAGACAAACUAGGAUUGGAUCCGAGAAUGCGCGCCAAAAUCGAACAAAUCAUCUUUGAUCCACCCAUAGCUUCCAACAUUUUAAGGCUGGGUCCAAUCAAGGAAGAGUGCGACAAGAGAGAUUUGACUGUGGGAUGGGAUGAAAUCAAGAUCACUGUCGCUCUGAUAAUGACGGAGAAUGAAGUGCGGGAUAACAUCGUCCAAUGGUCGGACGAGAAAUUGAAGAAGCUCACCAAGCCAAUUGAAAAUUUGGCGCCAAAUACACUUCACGGCGCAGUGAGCAAAAACGGAGAAGGACCCCGGCCAAGAGAAUUGCCCGCUUGGAUGGGCCGAUCGGGCAGUGCUGAUAAAUCUAGUUUGUCCAAGAAGCUUAAAAAGAACAGCAUUUUUCGAUGAAAAUUCACGCCUGAGGAAUCUCAAGAGUGUUCAACAUGACGGUCUGAUGUACACCAGGAGCCAUUAACUAAAUCAAACGCCAUGACCGAUAGUGCCAAAUACAGCUUUUCCCAUCGCAAAUAGCACACCUAGGGCUGUCUCGAUCGUCAUGAAGCUCUACCUCAUCGUGGCUGCCUGUGAAGGCAUGGGUAUUGGCCUGAAUGGAGGCCUGCCUUGGCGAUUGAAAGAAGAAGUCAAGUAUUUU
RNA transcript from Tigriopus californicus, 2975 nucleotides. It is a transcript of the gene named bifunctional 3'-5' exonuclease/ATP-dependent helicase WRN-like, with no coding region annotated. NCBI's taxonomy places the organism in Eukaryota, Metazoa, Arthropoda, Copepoda, Harpacticoida, Harpacticidae. The transcript has 7 exons. The record is from RefSeq and is a predicted model, not a curated record.